Molecule: ribosomal RNA, 497 nt
Filed under: uncultured bacterium
Lineage: Bacteria
Description: partial 16S ribosomal RNA
Rfam family: Bacterial small subunit ribosomal RNA
Source: RNAcentral
GAUGAACGCUGGCGGCGUGCCUAAUACAUGCAAGUCGAGCGAACAGACGAGGAGCUUGCUCCUCUGACGUUAGCGGCGGACGGGUGAGUAACACGUGGAUAACCUACCUAUAAGACUGGGAUAACUUCGGGAAACCGGAUCUAAUACCGGAUAAUAUAUUGAACCGCAUGGUUCAAUAGUGAAAGACGGUUUUGCUGUUACUUAUAGAUGGAUCCGCGCCGCAUUAGCUAGUUGGGAAGGUAACGGCUUACCAAGGCAACGAUGCGUAGCCGACCUGAGAGGGUGAUCGGCCACACUGGAACUGAGACACGGUCCAGACUCCUACGGGAGGAAGCAGUAGGGAAUCUUCCGCAAUGGGCGAAAGCCUGACGGAGCAACGCCGCGUGAGUGAUGAAGGCCUUCGGAUCGUAAAACUCUGUUAUUAGGGAAGAACAAAUGUGUAAGUAACUAUGCACGUCUUGACGGUACCUAAUCAGAAAGCCACGGCUAACUACGUG